GACGAAGGGGGCUAGCGUUGUUCGGAAUUACUGGGCGUAAAGCGCGUGUAGGCGGUUGUUCAAGUCAGGUGUGAAAGCCUUGAGCUCAACUCAAGAAAUGCACUUGAUACUGGAUGACUAGAGGACCGGAGAGGAUAGUGGAAUUCCCAGUGUAGUGGUGAAAUACGUAGAGAUUGGGAAGAACACCAGUGGCGAAGGCGGCUAUCUGGACGGUUUCUGACGCUAAGACGCGAAAGCGUGGGAGCAAACAGG
RNAcentral lists this ribosomal RNA (252 nucleotides) under uncultured bacterium. RNAcentral describes it as "partial 16S ribosomal RNA". It matches the Rfam family "Bacterial small subunit ribosomal RNA", at positions 524 to 776 of the family's 1533-position model. The record is from RNAcentral.